UUUGCGUUUGUUUGUUUGUGUGUGUGUGUGCGUGCGCGCGCGCGCGCGUGGUUCGUUCGUUCUGUCUCCAGGCUAGUGGCUAAGUACUGAGGGCUUCAUCUAUCUAAAAGGAGUUAUUUCCAUCUGAAUUUGGCAGCACCGGGACACAGCAGCAGAGCGAGUCCACAUCCAGAAGACUGGAGCCGUGUUUCACUGACAGGCUGUCAGACGCCCUGAUGAGCUCAGCUGGGACAAACUGGUCUGAUGUUUAGGAACACAGAACGUUCAGAUGUUGGCGUUUCACGUCACCUACUGAGGAAGGAGACCCACCAGUAAAGAGACGGUCUGGACCAGACCAAAAAUAUGACGAUGACAUCAUGGAACUGGUCUUUGGAAAAGUUUUCCCUGAACCAACUCCGUUUCUAGAUGAGGUAGAGAAGAUCUGCAUCUCACCAACUCUCUGGUCUCAGUAUUCAGACAACGGAGGUCUCCCACUGUUGUCCAGGACCAGUUUGAAGCCCACAUACUGCCCCUCCCUCAUCAUCAGGAAACAUCAAUCCGUAUCCUGAGGACAACAGAAGACGGCAGGAGGACAGGAACUCUGAGACCUAGACACCACCAGCACCGAGACACAAAGCACCUGUGUGCACAACGCCUGUUUUAACUACUAAAGCCUGUUUAUUAUAUUGUUCUACUUAUUUGCUGUGAGGUUAAUACUUAGAAAAUUUGUAUAUUAAUGUAAACAAUAAAAAAAAUCACUGAUUGUA
This is a non-coding RNA of Nothobranchius furzeri (turquoise killifish), 746 nucleotides long. The record is from RefSeq and is a predicted model, not a curated record. Lineage: Eukaryota; Metazoa; Chordata; Actinopteri; Cyprinodontiformes; Nothobranchiidae.